This is a long non-coding RNA of Oreochromis niloticus (Nile tilapia), 918 nucleotides long. RefSeq lists it as uncharacterized. The record is from RefSeq and is a predicted model, not a curated record. The transcript is spliced from 3 exons. Lineage: Eukaryota; Metazoa; Chordata; Actinopteri; Cichliformes; Cichlidae.
CUUAGUAACUCGAAAUUAUGAGAAAAAUAACUCGAAAUUUCGAGAAAAUAACUCGAAAUUUCGAGUUAGCUCUGCCAAUCAGUAAUCUACGUGAAUGACGUCAUUUCCUUGUUACCCGGAAGGAUAUGGCACAAAGGCGCGCGCACUCAAAACUGGAUCGUCUCGUGAGCUACAAAUGGCGCCAGGUUCUUCAGCUUUGAAUGCCUUCCUACAAAUGAUAACUGGAUAAAAGCAUGGGAGACUUGAUUGAAUUCUUGAAACAAAGAGAAGUCUCUGAGGAAAUUAUACAGACCUUGGAGAAUGAGAAGAUUGAUGCCAGUGUCAUAAGUCUAAUGACAGAUGAGGAGCUGAAGACUUAUUUGCCAUCAUAUGGUGAUCGUCUAGCAGUAUUUGGAUUUUGCAGACGGAGGGGCAGCAGCCGCAAGUCAGCGCUUUUUGAACGGCUGAAAUCCAAACUGUCCAAAAGAAAAUUAUCUGAAGAGGAUGGCAGUAGUACACGGCAAGAAGAACAUUCCCAAACAACCCAUAAAAGAAAUGCUCUGAAGAGAAAUAGAAAAAUAGAAAUAGGAUGGAUGCAUUAUGAUGAAGACACUGAGGUUUUCAAGCAGGUUAGAGCUAGACGAGGAGGAGGAACAAGAAAAAUAGACAUUUGCAAGGAUGCCAAGAAAAGGGACAUAUUACAGGUUGCAACAGGCCUGUUCUUUCCAGAUGGAGGAAACAUUCAGGGGCCCUUAACAGAUUUUGACUGUGAUCUAAAGGAUUAUCAAGAGAUGAUAGUCGAUGAUGCAUUAACAGUAGGAGAACUUUAUCAUGUCACAAAACUAAAUAUCCUCAGGUUCUACCUCACCACAAAGAAAAAACAAAAUGACAGCCUUCAGAGUUCCAGCCCAGGUUUGCAUCCAUCUUCAGAAAUUGAAG